RNAcentral lists this ribosomal RNA (253 nucleotides) under uncultured bacterium. RNAcentral describes it as "partial 16S ribosomal RNA". It matches the Rfam family "Bacterial small subunit ribosomal RNA", at positions 524 to 776 of the family's 1533-position model. The record is from RNAcentral.
UACGAAGGGGGCUAGCGUUGCUCGGAAUCACUGGGCGUAAAGCGCACGUAGGCGGAUUCUUAAGUCAGGGGUGAAAUCCUGGAGCUCAACUCCAGAACUGCCCUUGAUACUGGGAAUCUCGAGUCCGGGAGAGGUGAGUGGAACUGCGAGUGUAGAGGUGAAAUUCGUAGAUAUUCGCAAGAACACCAGUGGCGAAGGCGGCUCACUGGCCCGGUACUGACGCUGAGGUGCGAAAGCGUGGGGAGCAAACAGG